This 29-nucleotide non-coding RNA is filed under the name Bombyx mori (domestic silkworm). RNAcentral also lists the same sequence under 1 other name. Lineage: Eukaryota; Metazoa; Arthropoda; Insecta; Lepidoptera; Bombycidae. The record is from RNAcentral.
UCUUCGGUAGUAUAGUGGUCAGUAUCCCC